This 443-nucleotide ribosomal RNA is filed under the name uncultured bacterium. Its description in RNAcentral is "partial 16S ribosomal RNA". It matches the Rfam family "Bacterial small subunit ribosomal RNA", at positions 338 to 795 of the family's 1533-position model. The record is from RNAcentral.
CCUACGGGAGGCAGCAGUGGGGAAUAUUGGGCAAUGGAGGAAACUCUGACCCAGCAACGCCGCGUGAAUGAUGAAGGUCUUCGGAUUGUAAAGUUCUUUUCUAAGGGAAGAAGAAAGUGACGGUACCUUAGGAAUAAGCCUCGGCUAACUACGUGCCAGCAGCCGCGGUAAUACGUAGGAGGCAAGCGUUAUCCGGAAUGACUGGGCGUAAAGGGUGCGUAGGUGGUUUGACAAGUUGGUAGCGUAACUCCGGAGCUCAACCACGGCACUACUACCAAAACUGUCGGACUUGAGUGCAGGAGGGGCAAAUGGAAUUCCUGGUGUAGCGGUGGAAUGCGUAGAGAUUAGGAGGAACACCAGUGGCGAAGGCGAUUUGCUGGACUGUAACUGACACUGAGGCACGAAAGCGUGGGGAGCAAACAGGAUUAGAUACCCCAGUAGUC